UUUGUCAGCCUGCACUCUCUUUAUGGUCAAGCCUUUUGGGGCUGACCCACCCCACAACCACCUGUACUGGGGAAGAAAAUGAGUCCUUAACACGUUAAAGGGCAGGCUAGCAUGUUUGUCUUUCUAGCAGAUUACUGAACCUAAAGAGAGAAAUCUUAAAAAUAACAGUUGCCACCAUCAAAGGCAAACUACUAGGCUGGCUGGAUCGUUGUUGUAAGAAAGUUUUGCAUUUUUUUUUUUUUAAUGUUCUCACAACAACGGUAUGACCUGGGAUAGAAUUGGAUCUGAGGCACAGCCACGUGCCUGGCUUUCGUCUGCAGAGCCUGGAGCUGGGUCCUGCCCAAAUACAUGGGACGGGAAAGAUGCAGGCCUGGCCUUGAAGAGGCUUGGUGAUUCCUGAGCAGCAGAUGGUGAGCCAGCCCUCCCGAGAGUAAAAACAAACCAUCGCGGUGGAGGGUUAUUCUGGAAACCCAACUGGCAACGAUAGUUCCAGAGCCCUUGGAGAAUGCUUUUGGAGAUGGGCAGAAGAGAAGUCAGUAGGAUCCCAGGCCUCCACCCUGCUGCAGCUCUACUUCUAGAAGUUUUACAAAUUGGGCUUCCUUGUGAAAUUUAUUUUAUGUAAAACUCCUUGUGAAGGGGUUCUACUGCUUAAAAACUCAUUUUAAAAACUGUCUGUAAGACUGCUGAAUCACAGACCUGUACCUCUGAAACAAAUAAUGCAUUAUAUGUUCAAAAAAAAAAGAAGAUA
Molecule: long non-coding RNA, 748 nt
Organism: Mirounga angustirostris (Northern elephant seal)
Lineage: Eukaryota; Metazoa; Chordata; Mammalia; Carnivora; Phocidae
Exons: 3
Source: RefSeq, a predicted model, not a curated record